Danaus plexippus (monarch butterfly) is the source of this 1230-nucleotide long non-coding RNA. RefSeq lists it as uncharacterized. The record is from RefSeq and is a predicted model, not a curated record. Lineage: Eukaryota; Metazoa; Arthropoda; Insecta; Lepidoptera; Nymphalidae. The transcript is spliced from 3 exons.
CCACUCGCGUCGUUUCACCGAUUACCAGUUUAAUAUUUUUAUAUUUAUAAAUAGUCUGUGAAUUUCUGUGUUAUUUGAGCGUUUAUUUACUUAAAGUUAACAUUCGUUAUUAUUCGUUAUUAUUAAUAGCGAUAAUGAAGCUUGUUGGUUGACUUGUAGACUACAUGCUUUAUAAAUACGAUAUUAUCUGUACACUGUAUUGAAAAAUAUAUAAUACUGUCGUGCGGUUUGAUAAAAAUACUGAUUAGUACGAGAUAAGAUUGAACCAAACGAAUAUUACGGUGAAGAAACAAAAAAUAUGUAACUUUCAUACUUAAUAAAACGAAAAAACACACUCGAGUCCUUCUGUAUUUUCAAUAAAUAGAUCUCGAGGACAUUUUAAAGAUCUAGUGACGCGGUGGCUUACAAAGGUCACUGUUUAAGGUCUAACACGAAGCGGCAAAGAGAUUUGAUACGACCAUCGAAAGAAGAAAAAAUUCACUAUAGAAAAAAGCUGUCAAAAAUGGCCGCCUGACAUUUCAUUUAUGUACAAACAUUAUAAGGUCUUGGUUGGUGUAAACUGUACAGCAAACAUACUUGUAAAAUGAAAAUUAAUCUUAUUAUGUUUUAUAUUUUUUCCCUAAUUCUAGCUUCUAUAGUAAAUAACGCAUAUAUAUAAUUAAAAUUGCAUUCAAAUUGCGAAUAAAAAUAUCUAAUUACAUAGUCUAAAAUCCUUCGCGAGCCGUAUGCACAUUCGGUCGGGCGUAGCAAGAAAUAGUAAUGUUAAUAAUAGCGAGGUAAAUUACUUUUACCUGAGACUUUCUCUGGAUUUUUUUUUUCAUUUAAAACCAAAGUUUACACGUUUCUUACGUAUACCUACCACAUGCGUUACAUUCAUUGUUAUUACCAAGUCCUACAUUAUGGAUUCAGUAUAAAAAUAUACUAUUAGGAAAUUGUUAUUGUUAAUAUAGAGAUUAAAAAUAAGCUGAAAGUGUAUGUAUAGUACAAAACUUAUCUAUCAUAGUUCUCGUAUUUGUCAUAGUUGACAAGUUGCGAUCGAUUCCUUAGUAGAGAAACCUUUGUGUCACGUCAGUACUGAGAAAUUACAAGAUAAUGUUUCCAUAGAAGCCGAUAGAUGGUGCUGGCAUAAUUUAUUUUAUAUUGUUACAUAAAUUAAAACCUAGUUGAAAUUAGAUUUAUAAUGAUUUUUUUCGUUAAAAAAAUCAAGAUGUUACCAUGUCUUGUUAUAAA